AUGGCAAGCAGCGGCUACAAGCAUCCGAGCGAAGCUCUGGACAGCGAGCACCGAUUUCAUCACCACAACGACAGGCAUCGAUCAACGGAGAUCGACAAUGGUGCUUUGGGGAACUCCUCCAAGGGCAAGGAGGUAGCGGCCGACAAGAAGGGCAAGGCGAUGGUGGAGCUCGGCAGCGCCCCCAAGAGGCCGAAGAACUACGGCCAUCUCCAUGAGGGCGGUAGCACAAGCCACUUUUGCAAGGUCAUCCUUGCACCCAUGCUGGAGUGUCUGUCGAUGCCAGUUGAGUUCACCAAGCGCUUGACCACUGUCCGUGCUGAGGAUGAAAAUCAGCUGCGCCUGGAGGGUGAUGGUUCGAAUGAUCAACAACAGGGCUCACCAAGGGUUGGGCCCCUUCGUCGUUGCUCACCAUAUGGGGAUCGGGUACCUCUUCACCUUUAA
RNAcentral lists this ribosomal RNA (441 nucleotides) under Triticum aestivum (bread wheat). RNAcentral describes it as "partial small subunit ribosomal RNA". The record is from RNAcentral. Lineage: Eukaryota; Viridiplantae; Streptophyta; Magnoliopsida; Poales; Poaceae.